AAGAAAUUGUACAUGUUGUUUUCUUUUAUUACAAAAGCAGGAGUAAAAGACUGUGGCAGCAAAUGGCAGACAGUGAGUUCACAGCAAUUACAGAAGGCCAUUGCGAUGGUGGAAGGAAGAUAUAUUACAAACUCCCAUGGGAUAAGAUUUAGAUCUCGCCAGUGGGUUGACCUGAUAAUUCACAAGCAAUUUUUGUUUUCUGCAAGUUAUGGACAGUGGCGCAAAGCAAGGUAUAAAUGAUAUCCCCCAGGCCUUCAUAAUGUAUUCUGGUUACCUCAUGCAGCAUGUGUUAAUUUGGCAAAAAAUCGUAAGGUUAAUUAAGCAAAGAGGUAAAAAUAAAAGAUUGGAUUAGUGAUGCA
Molecule: long non-coding RNA, 359 nt
Organism: Amblyraja radiata (thorny skate)
Lineage: Eukaryota; Metazoa; Chordata; Chondrichthyes; Rajiformes; Rajidae
Exons: 2
Source: RefSeq, a predicted model, not a curated record